AUUUGCCCCCAUUCUGCGCGUGUUGGUUAUCGUGGGAAGGACGGCUGGAUGUACGCAUGUUAGCCAUCUGGGAGGGGAAUGAAGUGUUGGUAAUGGUGCAAGCAUAUGUUCUCUUUGAGAUCUCUCGAGCUCUCUUAAAUGUUCCAAUAACUUUUCCAUUUGCUUCCUAUUAAUCUCAACCUGAAACCAACAAAUCCCAAAAACCCUCAAGCCCUCCAACAAAAUCGGAAAAAACACCAUAUUUGCCCAAAAUUUUGAAUUUUCUCAGGAGUUCUCACCCAUUCCUGAGAUUUCUUUGGUGGGUUUUGGUUCUCUGGUCCCGUAAGGGCUUUGGUAGCGUAUGAAGAUCGAUGACAGUGAUCGGAGUUCGUCACAUGACAUUGUGGUUGAUCACAUCCUGAGUUUUCCGACUGAUAUAUUCAAUCCUAUCGGUCCUGAUUUUGUCCCUCCAUAGCAUUUGCAGCACCAUCUGCCUUGCUCUCAUCAGAGCUUGGCCUUCAGUUCCUCAGGUAAAGUUUCCACCUUUUUUUUCAGGGGCAUAUUUGGUUUGUGCAGAUUUCAUUUGAACUAAUUUGGGUUGUGCAUAUUUGGUAUGAUCUCUUUGGGUUGCAUAUUUGGGUUGUGCAUACUUUUGCAGUUGUAUUUACUACUGUCCAAAAGAGUACAACAAAGGGGUCAAUUUUCUCUUGGAAACACCUCAAGCUAGGAACAAGUCGGGUAUCCUCUUGAAAACAUUGUUUAGCAUGUAGCAAGCUUUGUUUGACUGAUAUACUCUCAAUAUUGCAUUUGUAAUUUUUUCAUUGGUCCAACCUUUUGAAUAAACAAUUACCUCUUCUUCGGACUUUGAAAAAAUAGAUUUGUACUUUUUCUUUUAGUAUCUAAAUUUGUUCCGUUCA
Long non-coding RNA from Pyrus x bretschneideri (Chinese white pear), 896 nucleotides. RefSeq lists it as uncharacterized. The record is from RefSeq and is a predicted model, not a curated record. The transcript is spliced from 2 exons. NCBI's taxonomy places the organism in Eukaryota, Viridiplantae, Streptophyta, Magnoliopsida, Rosales, Rosaceae.